GGGCCGGUAGCUCAGCCUGGAAGAGCGCCGCCCUUGCAUGGCCUAAGGGGGCGCGACCGAGGUCGAGGAGAGGCGGAGGACCCGGGUUCAAAUCCCGGCCGGUCCA
Molecule: transfer RNA, 106 nt
Filed under: Thermosphaera aggregans DSM 11486
Lineage: Archaea; Thermoproteati; Thermoproteota; Thermoprotei; Desulfurococcales; Desulfurococcaceae
Rfam family: tRNA
About the family: Transfer RNA (tRNA) molecules are approximately 80 nucleotides in length. Their secondary structure includes four short double-helical elements and three loops (D, anti-codon, and T loops). Further hydrogen bonds mediate the characteristic L-shaped molecular structure. tRNAs have two regions of fundamental functional importance: the anti-codon, which is responsible for specific mRNA codon recognition, and the 3' end, to which the tRNAs corresponding amino acid is attached (by aminoacyl-tRNA synthetases). tRNAs cope with the degeneracy of the genetic code in two manners: having more than one tRNA (with a specific anti-codon) for a particular amino acid; and 'wobble' base-pairing, i.e. permitting non-standard base-pairing at the 3rd anti-codon position.
Source: Rfam by way of RNAcentral